Molecule: transfer RNA, 73 nt
Filed under: Mustela putorius furo (domestic ferret)
Lineage: Eukaryota; Metazoa; Chordata; Mammalia; Carnivora; Mustelidae
Rfam family: tRNA
About the family: Transfer RNA (tRNA) molecules are approximately 80 nucleotides in length.
Source: Rfam by way of RNAcentral
GCCUGGCUGGCUUUGUUGGUAGAGCAUGAAACUCCUGAUCUUAAGAUUGUGAGUUUGAGCCCCAUGUUGGGGA